CCAAAAUACUGGGAUUAGAGGUGUGAACCACUGGGCCCAGCCUUAAGGUACUUUCAUAUUAAAUUCACAUUAAACAAUUUCUACCCUUUGAGCCACAUCUUUUUCUUCCAUCUCAGUUGAAAUACUUAACGGACUUCAUGAUUUGGAAAGCAGAGGUUUCUGUCCUGUGUGUGUAAAUGGAGGUAGGGUAGCUUUGAGGUUAUUUUUUUGUGGUGGAGCUGAAUUCUCAAGAAAUCCUUGUUGAGCCGCUACCUGAGCCCAUCUGGAGGCCCUGGUCACUUAGCAGAGAUCAGUCUUUCACAUUCUGGUUCCAGGAACAAAACAUCCCCAAACCACAGCAGGGCCAGCCUCCUUUUAAGAAACUUAGGUUCACGUAAUCAUUCAUUCAUGUCUCAUGACCAUGAUGGAAAAGCCUAGGCUUGGAAAAGAAACUCACCACAGAUUUAUUCAAGACAACACUGACACAGGCUUUGUGCAUUUCUGACACGGGGUUUUGAAUUCUAACACCUUGUCGCUCCUAUUGUUCUUUGGUUUUCUUAUUGUUUAUUGCUUCUGUUUUUUUUUUUUUUUUUUUUUGUCUUUUUUCUUUUUUCCUUUCUUUAGGUUUCUCUAAAGAUAUAAGAAAUCCUGCUAGCUGACAAAGGAACAAAGGUAUGUGUGUUCUGAAUAUUUGCUCUACAAGCUUGAAACAGAGUGGCACCUAUGGCCAUGACAGAAUAAAAUGCUGCAAAAAGUAACGAGGAGUCCAAGAAGCUUCCGUGACUAAUGUGGAUUCAGAAAGGGCUCACUCAGCAGAGACAUGUGACAUGUAAACCAAAUUAAGCUAUGGUGUUUAAAGAUAUGGAAUCUUGAUCCUAGUAAUUGUAAUUGUGAUUGUGUAAUGUUGGUUUCGGACAAGCCAAUCUCCGACAUCCUUGGAAUGUUCUUCCCAGCUCUCCAGACCAGCGGUCAGGGAUGGCACGGGAGGAGAUUUUGGGUUGCUCCUCCAGUAACCCAAAACCAACAGGAGCAACAGGAUGUUAGAAUUCAAACCCCAUGUCAGAAAGGUACAAAUUCUGUGUCAGUAUCAUCUGGAAUAAAUCCACGAAAUGACCAAGGCUCAUAUGAAAACUCUUCCUCUCUCAGAAGGUACUCUGAGCUCAGUAUUACAUGAACAGCCCAUUUAUUUCAGAUCUGUAGCUUGGAAUUUAUUGCGAACAGAUUCAGUCUUGGAUGAGGGUGGAGGGCAUAUCUCUCCAUUCUGUGAUUUCAUAUCUCCAGGAUAUUCCUACACCAAAAGCACUUCCUCCAUAGAAUUGGCAAAGAGUAAAUAUGUACUGUCACAGAUUUAUUCUUAUGGUUCAAGGUCUAAUUCUUUAUUAAUCAAUCACACACCUCCAAAGUGCUAUUCUUAAAAAAAAA
Long non-coding RNA from Nomascus leucogenys (northern white-cheeked gibbon), 1401 nucleotides. RefSeq lists it as uncharacterized. Lineage: Eukaryota; Metazoa; Chordata; Mammalia; Primates; Hylobatidae. The transcript has 2 exons. The record is from RefSeq and is a predicted model, not a curated record.